RNAcentral lists this ribosomal RNA (253 nucleotides) under uncultured bacterium. Its description in RNAcentral is "partial 16S ribosomal RNA". It matches the Rfam family "Bacterial small subunit ribosomal RNA", at positions 524 to 776 of the family's 1533-position model. The record is from RNAcentral.
UACAGAGGUCUCAAGCGUUGUUCGGAUUCAUUGGGCGUAAAGGGUGCGUAGGCGGCGCGGUAAGUCGGGUGUGAAAUCUUGGAGCUUAACUCCGAAACUGCAUUCGAUACUGCCGUGCUUGAGGACUGGAGAGGAGACUGGAAUUCCUGGUGUAGCGGUGGAAUGCGCAGAUAUUAGGAAGAACACCGGUGGCGAAGGCGGCCCACUGGUCCGGUACUGACGCUGAGGUGCGAAAGCGUGGGGAGCAAACAGG